Molecule: long non-coding RNA, 354 nt
Filed under: Salmo salar (Atlantic salmon)
Lineage: Eukaryota; Metazoa; Chordata; Actinopteri; Salmoniformes; Salmonidae
Description: lncRNA (ENSSSAG00000114926.1)
Source: RNAcentral
GCACGGGGAUUAGACAUAUAGGCACGGGGAUUAGACAUAUAGGCAUGGGGAUUAGACAUAUAGGCAUGGGGAUUAGACAUAUAGGCAUGGGGAUUAGACAUAUAGGCACGGGGAUUAGACAUAUAGGCAUGGGGAUUAGACAUAUAGGCACGGGGAUUAGACAUAUAGACACGGGGAUUAGACAUAUAGACACGGGGAUUAGACAUAUAGACACGGGGAUUAGACAUAUAGACAUGGGGAUUAGACAUAUAGACACGGGGAUUAGACAUAUGGGGAUUAGACAUAUAGACACGGGGAUUAGACAUAUAGACACGGGGAUUAGACAUAUAGACAUGGGGAUUAGACAUAUAGACA